Molecule: ribosomal RNA, 391 nt
Filed under: uncultured Lactobacillus sp.
Lineage: Bacteria; Bacillati; Bacillota; Bacilli; Lactobacillales; Lactobacillaceae
Description: bacterial SSU rRNA
Rfam family: Bacterial small subunit ribosomal RNA
Source: RNAcentral
GCUAAUACCGGAUAAGAAAGCAGAUCGCAUGAUCAGCUUUUAAAAGGCGGCGUAAAGCUGUCGCUAUGGGGAUGGGCCCCGCGGUGCAUUAGCUAGUUGGUAAGGUAAAGGCUUACCAAGGGCGAUGAUGCAUAGCCCGAGUUGAGAGACUGAUCGGGCCACAUUGGGGACUGAGACACGGGCCCAAACUCCUACGGGGAGGCAGCAGUAGGGAAUCUUCCACAAUGGACGCAAGUCUGAUGGAGCAAACGCCGCGUGAGUGAAGAAGGUUUUCGGAUCGUAAAGCUCUGUUGUUGGUGAAGAAGGAUAGAGGUAGUAACUGGCCCUUUAUUUGACGGUAAUCAACCAGAAAGUCACGGGCUAACUACGUGCCCAGCAGCCGCGGUAAAAU